AAAAAAAAACAGAAAAAUCUUUAUUAACUCACAACAACACGUGAUGAUACCUGGCUAGGUAUCACUUGAUAGAAAAGACUACAAGAGCUGACAAUAAGAGCAAGGCUGCUACAACUGGAGGACUUUCAACGGAAUUAGAAAUAAAAAUUAAGUCCACAUUAGCAUGGGCUUAAUCUACAAAAACAUAGAAAAUCUAAACUUGAAGACCUGCUUGCCCAUCCCUCUUGUCUCCUUCUUCCUGACUUCCUAUUUGAUUCUCAUUCUCAAUCAUACAGUACUUCUUGAAGAAAUAACCCAAACACCUCAUCAGAAAAGGCACUGAAGCUAUAAACAAAAGAUAGCGAUAACGCACAGAUUUACGAGGAGUAACAGCAAAAACCGCAGAUGCAUAGGUUACCAUCAUUGAAGCUGUAGCAACCCAUAUUUCAACAUGGAAAGGGAACCUGUAAGUGAGAGAUGUAAUGACAAGUAUACAAGAGGAGAGAGCCAUAGUGUUUGAUACCACGAAAACAUAGUAAGCACCCGGUUGAGAUGCAUAAAUUGCUGUUCCUGCAACAUGAGUACCAUUUCCUGUAUCUUGCCAGACCCCUCCAGGAGGGUUCACCCCAGCCUGGAAAGUCACUGCCGCAAUCAAGGCCACAACUACUAGCAAAACAUUUCUCGCAUCGCUUGGUGUGUCUCUGUCUGGAUUAUACUGAAAUUUCUUGAACCAGCUAUAACUUCUUUUAGCAAUGUUUUUUUAGGCUGAGACAUUCUUACUUGGGCAAAGAUAUGUGGGAGAUACCAGCACUCUGGCUCUCAAGAGUUACUUAUAAAGACCCUCCGUUCUAAAGGAUGGGGCCCUGCCCUGAUCAAUUAUCACACAUGUUUCUCAUUUUUGAUGUCUGUACACCUAUAAUUAAUCAAGGAUGAUUAUAAAUGAUUUUCUAUAGCUAAUUUUAUCUUAAUUUGUUCUUCAUAUUUUUAUAAAUUAUACUUUAUAUUCUAUAACAAACAAAACACAUCAUUGAGGACAUAAAAUUAUAAUGAAAAAUGUAAUUUGUAAAAAUAUGGGGAAAAGGUGAAAUUCAUAUAAAAUUUACAGAAAAAUAUAAUUAUCCCAAUAAAUAAUAGCAUAUGGAUUCAUUAAAUAAAGUCUGAAUCUUAAUACACACACCGAUUCAUGUAAGAAUUUUCAAACUAAUUUAAUGGUCAAUGUUUACCCGAGUCAAUGCAAGUCAAUGAAUGUAAGAUUAUAUAAAUCUUGUGUGUAUAGUGAUUAUCAACGUCGAAUUCCUGGGUAUCCAAAUUAAUAGCCGCCACCAGGAAAACAACGGUGGAAAUUUAGCGAAAAGUUAAGCUAAAUUGCUUUGUUGUUUGGCAGAUGGACCCGGGGAAUCAAGACUCCUUUUCAAGUCUUUUAUUAAACAUAAAUUUUCCACGAAAACAAAGAUGGUUUCUUAAUCUUUGCUCACGCACACAGCUUUUCUUUUUCUAUUUUGUUUUCACGUUCCUUUCCCCCUUUAUUUUUCCAUGCGGUGCCAAUAGUUGUAAAAAAUUACUUCAAGACGUGGAAAAUAAAGUGUUUUUUACUUUAAGAAAUUUAUUGCAAAUCAAUUUUUUUUAAUAUAUUUAAUUAAAUAAAUUAAGAAUCGAGAAUAAAUUUAAGAAAAAGUUGUUAAUGCUAACUAAAAACUAAACAAAAAAAUUAAAAGAUAGAUACAUAUUAAAUUAUUUGAUAUCGUAAUAUAAUCUAUAAACACAAUUAAAUUUAAUAAACUUUGUUUUUUUGAAUUAAUCUUCAUUUAAUUAAAUAAUAUUAAAAAUAAACACGCUCAAAGAAGUUAUUGAAUAGAAUUAAAAAAAAAAUAUUACAUAAGGUUGCACAAAACAUCUACUAAUAUUGGAAAAAAAGUUAUAACCAAGUAAAAAUUAGAUAUUAAUCUAUUAAAAAAAUAUCAUAAUUCUUUUAAUUAAGUUAUUUUAAGUGAUUUCAAUUAAAAUUGAAUACUUGCUUGGUCAAACAUCUCACACUUUUAUUUAAUUAAUUUAUUUUAACUAAUCUUAAAUUAAAUUAAAAAAAAGUUCAAAAGGGACUAAAUGUUUGGGCCAAUAAAACAAAUGCCCACAUACGAAAGACUGCAAGGCCAACCUCGUGUACUUGAGCGUUCCUCUUUUAUUUUUUUUUCUCCACCAAAGAUGCAUAUGCAUAUGACAUGUUAUUCGCCUUUAUUUUCUUGGAAAAAAUUAAGAUAAAUAAUAUGUUUGAUCACUAUAAUGAUGGUUGAAAGGAGGAAGGGUGUUUGACCUAAAAAUUAUUUUAACCUAUUUUCAUAUAAAACACACCUAUUAUACACACACUUAGAGCAGUCCAAAAAUACAAAAUCAAAUUAGAGAUAAAAUUUUUUUUAUCUCAUCCCUGAUUUACCUUUUCAAACAAAACAAAUGUUCAAAACCAACACCAUUAAAUCACUUCAUUAAAUAAAACUUGUUGAUAUCAAGAACGAUAAGUAUUAUCUUUGAAAAGUAGUUAAAAAGAACUUUUUUUCUUGUUAUUUUCAAGUGACUUCUCUUUUUUUUUUAAAAUUUAGAGACUAAAAUGUUAAGAAAAUAAAUUUUGAAUCAAAAUUAAAAUUACAAAAACUAAAGAUACUUCAAAGUAAAAUGAAAAGUGUGCUAAACAAAACUUUUUCUCAAGAAUUUGGAAUUAUCCUUUUAUUGGUUUACACUUUGGUCAUUUUUUGUUAAAUUUUCUCUUUUCUUGACAAACUUUAAUAAAUUGGCAUUAAUUUAGGCAUUGAAAGUUGUAACUGAAAAAUAAAAUUUGAGAAUCAAAACUGAAAAAACAAAUUGCAGUGAUUUAGUAUAUGUUAUAAUAUGUUGAGGGGUCUAUAUUUUUAAGAAACCUAAUUUAGUCCCUAAUAUAUGUACUCAAUUUUAAUUGGAUCCCAAGCCUAACAAUUUUAUCUUAAAUGUUCUAAACAAUAUUUCUCGCUCAGGGUCUUAUGUUGACGUUAAUUAUUUUUUUAAUAAAGUUUUUUUCAAAAAACAUCAUUUUAUUACAUAAAAUAUUUAUAUUCAAAGGGAAAUAAUAACAAGCAAAUGAUGGAAGAAGGACUCUAUUGAGAAAUGUAUGAUUAAUUGAGAAGUACGAAGAGGCUUUAUUUUGAUUGCUUUGAAGUGUCCAAACCAACAAUGUCUUAACCCAACCUACGACAUUAGCUUUUGCAUAUGAUUUCUUCAGAGGCAUAAUAGAAUUUGGAACUUUAAUCAUUUUUGUGCAUGUAAUGGUAAUUAAAAUGGCAUUAACCUUAAUGCUUUUUCCAUAAAGGGAUAUUUAUUUUAUCAAAGAAUCAUUUUAACUUAAUAGUUUGAAUUGUUAGAUGAUAUUAUAGAAUAUAAUUUAUAUUAUUCUUUAAAACACCUUAUCAAGUAAAACUUUUUUAGACUUGAAACUUGCACAUGCCAACACUAUCCUGUAUUUUAUUUUUACCAAAUAAAUAGAGAUGAUGAGAUUUGAACUCGGAACCAUUUGGUUAUUAAGAGUUCUGAUACCAUGUUAAAAAAUCAUCUCAACUUAAUAACUUAAACUAUUAGGUAAUCAUUUAACUUGAUAAUUUAACUUGAUCAUUUUUAUAGUUCCACGUUCAUCUUUCUUAUCUUAUCAUUUAACUUCUUCUCCAUACAUUUUUAUUCACAAGGUUUUCUUUAGAGAUUGUGCACGGGAUAAAUUUUGUGUAUAUUUGUUUAGUAGAUGCAUGCUUUUUUGUCUAAUUUUUUUUUUGUUUUACAAGGUUUUCUUUGAGAUAUUAUAAUCAAGUUAAAUUCAGUGUAUGCUUGUUUAUAAGUCGUUUCAAUUAACGAAAUCUUAGUUAUUAAUUUAUAUUUUUAGUAGAUUGUUUUCUAUAAUCAAUUGAAAAAUUAUUUUAAUUUAAAAACUUAACUAAAUUAAAUAUAUCUACUUUACCUCUUGCUAUUUAUAAAUUUUAAUUAAAAAAAAGAGAAAAAAUAUGAAUGGAUUUGAACUUAUAACUAUUUAGUCAACAAGACUAUAACACAUGUAAGAAAACCACCCCAAUCUAAGAACUUCAAUAAUACUUCAAGAUAUAAUUUAUAUUAUUUUUUAAUAAUUAUUUUUAAAAACUAAUUUUAAAUGAUUUCCGAUCAAAUUCUAAAUAUGUGUAGAAGUCAUAAUCCAUAUGCAUAGAUGCAAUUUAAGAUUGAUUUUAUGAUCUGAAAUUGAUUGGCAUCUAGAUGCACUAUCUUUGAAAUGCCACAAGAUCAUAUAUAUUUGAAGAACAUAAAGCAGCUUAAACUAGAAAAUGGAAACUGUUUUUUAUGCUAGUUGAUGAUUGUGAAAGAGAUGCAGCAUUUCAAGCAUCUUCUCUUGAUUUUGUGGGCUGAUUCCAAUUUUAUGUUUGACCCAUAAAGGAGGCUCUGGGCUCCUUAAUGGACUAGAAAACCAAAGCCGAGCGACCACUCUAAAACAAAGCCCAAAGCGUACACUCAACUAAUUUAGUUCAAGCGUAUAAUGAUGGGCGCUGAAAAAAACGAGAAAAAAAUGUAAUGGGCUCAUAAAUCAGUAAUGGGCUCGGAAAAUCAAAUGGGCUUUUAGUCUUGGUUGGCUUUCAAUUGCCGGUCAUUGUCUAAAAUAUUUAUUUUCUUUUCAAAUGGCCCGUAAGAAAUAUUUAGAAGGAGCUUAGCCCAUCCCUAGAGGAAUAAAGACCUUCUAAAGUAUAUUUCUUCUUCUUUUGGAAUAAAAUGAUUUUGAGUGCCUAAAACUCGAUCAAAGUAUCUUUGGAAAGAAAUCAUGUUGUUAGAUACUCAAUGUUAUGUCAUAAAAAUAUUAGAUUUGAUUUAAAUAAUUAAAGCUUCGCAUUUUGUCAAACAAGAAAAUGAUUAUAUAUUUUUUAAGAAAACUAAUUCGGAAAAUACCUUUCAUCUAACUUAUCACUAAUUACUCAAAAUUAAAUCCUCUCUACAAAUAAUAUUAAUGACAUAACAUAAUUUUGACUUGAUGUAUUUAGGAAUUAAAUUUUCUUGAAUGUUGGUUACAAAGUUUAGAUUAAAGAAAAAUUAAGAGUAAUUAUCAAACUAUUUAGUGAUUUAACUUAAUUUAGAUAAACUAAUUAAUUUUUUUUUUGGAUAAGACUAGAAAUGAAUUAGUACAAACGUCAAUACAUUACAUCGAACUUAGUUAACCCAUAACUCAAGUAACAUGGAGUAUUGGCUAGGUUUAAAUGGCCUAAACUCAUACUUAUAAUUAGUCCAGUAACUCGCCAAAUCAACCUAAAAACCAUGUGAUUUGACAAAACCUGGAUGAGACCUGACCUUUUGUUUUUAUAUACCAACAAAAAAACCUAAAAAAUAUAAAGUUAAUUUAUGAAUAUUUGGCUUCACAUUUUUUUUAUAGCUUACAUUUCCAUGAAAUAUUUGUUAACCUUUUCAUGUGAGAUAACUAUAUUUAUAGCCUAUAUAUAUAUAUAUAUAUAUAUAUAUGGAAUGUUUAUUAACUUUUAAAUGUGGGAUAAAUAUAUACCCUUCAUUCACAUAGAUUAUUUUUUAAUUAUUUUAUGGGAUAACUAUAUAUAUAGACUAUAUACACAAGUAAUGUUUCUUUUAAUUUUUUUAUGUAGGAUAACUAUAUAUAUCUCAUAUCCACAUAAAAUAUUUUUUUAACUUUUUAAUAAGGAAUAUUAAAAUCUUAUUUUUAAUUUUUUUUUUUUUAAAUUAACUAGGGUUAAUUAAUCUGUCUGUAUACCUUAGACUCCACUUCUUGGUAUUAAAAACUGAAUUGAGUUGCUGGUUAAUUCACUGAUGGAUAUUGGGAAUUAAUAAAUUUUUAUUAUACAGUUGUUUGCCUCCUGCAAAUUUUCUGGCGUUUCAACAAUGCCUUUGGAAAAAGUGCUAAUCUUACAUCUACAUCCCUUAGCGAGUGUUCCUCACGCCUGUCUUCUUGUUGCGAGACUUGUUUGCUCGAGAACAUACAGUAUGAAACAAGGAGUGAUCAAGAUUUCCAAUAUUAGAAAGUACUUUCUCAUAUCACCUGCCCAAGUUUUUGCAAACUAGUAGAACAAACAGUAUGCUGAGGAGUCUUUCAGUCCGCAGAACAAAUUUAUUAAAUGGUGUUUGAAAGCGCCAUGCUCAUAUUGUAGAGUAACUAGAGUUCAAGCAACAGUUCGUCAACUCAACAAUUCUGUAUUUAAAGAAAAAGAUCACAGCAGCCCUCAACACAUGUAGCAGCAACUGUUCGUCAACUCAACAAUUCUGUAUUUAAUCACAGCAACACAGGAUAAUACAAGAGCAUGGCUAGUUAUCACACUUAAUUAUAAAAGAGUACAAGAGCUGACAAUAAGAGCAAGGCUGCUACAACUGGAGGACUUACAACGGAAUUAGAAAUAAAAAUUAAGUCCACAUUAGCGCAUGGGCUUAAUCUACAAAAACAUAGAAAAUCUACACUUG
Molecule: long non-coding RNA, 6441 nt
Filed under: Populus tremula
Lineage: Eukaryota; Viridiplantae; Streptophyta; Magnoliopsida; Malpighiales; Salicaceae
Description: long non-coding RNA (PTRE_LNC000914)
Source: RNAcentral